This 12912-nucleotide long non-coding RNA is filed under the name Ricinus communis (castor bean). RNAcentral describes it as "long non-coding RNA (RCOM_LNC001947)". The record is from RNAcentral. Lineage: Eukaryota; Viridiplantae; Streptophyta; Magnoliopsida; Malpighiales; Euphorbiaceae.
GGAUUGGCGACCUCCUAGCUCUGCUCCGGUGCCUCGGUAGGAGCGAGCCGAACAGACAGAUCAUCUAAUCACGAAAAAUAAUUUAUCAAUACGCUGAGACAAUCCAUCAUUAAUCCUAGGUCUAGACUCCUAGUACUGACUGUCUAAGAAUCUCGACUCGGGAGAAUUCUACCGAAAAUCCGGCAGAACCUCCCCUACAACACGAACAUUACCCCCCGUAAAAACGGGUCCAGGACCUGCCAGAAGGACACUUCCAAUAUCCAACAAUUUAAACAACGGGAGUCGGGUCCCCAAACUUCACUAUUUCCCGACUCCGCCACACAGCACAAAAUACGAGGCAGGCCAACUGACAGACAAAUAUUUAUGACUCACAAAUAUCAUCAAGUACUCAAUAUAAACCAUUAGACACAAUUAAACCAAGAAUUUCUAAAACUAACGGGCCAAAGAUAAUUACCGAGACGCUCGAUCGCUCGGUCGACUCGCCUCCAGCCGCCGGAGUCCGAUCGACGAUCCGAACACACCAUCGGACUCACAACGACGCGCUGAUGACGAUCCCCGCUUCCGAUUUUCUGAUCUGACACCCGACCAUCCGGAGAGAUUUGCGAACGAUCACGGCCGUCGAUUUGCAAACGAAGCCCGAUCGCCACGAAACUGGUGCCAUCGCGAAGCUUGAGAUGAGGAGAGUCGGGAUAUGUCCUCCGAUCAUCCAUCCUCCGCCGGAGCUCGCCGGAAAAGCCCAAAAACACCGGCUGCCACCAUUAUCUCUCUCCACCGGAUCUUCCGUCUCCGGCCACCACAGGCGUCGCCGCUGCUGCCAAAAGAAAGCUCUCGCCGAGAGGAGCCGAUCGCCACCCAACUCGGCCGCCAACAACGCGGGAAACGGCCGGAAACACGCCUGGAAGCCGCUGCCACACGCGCGAUUCUCGCCGCCUCACGCUACCGCUGGAGCCGCUGCUGCCGCCGCCGCUGCGCUCGCCAGCGUACGCCGCUCCACGCCCCCGGAGCUCGUCACCGACGCCGCACGCCGUCGCCUUCCUCCCCUUCUUCUUCGGCCAUCGCCCUCUCUCUCUCUCUCCCGAUCUACUCUCUCUCUCCCCGAUUUUUUUCCCUUCAAUAUCGACAUUUGACCCCUGAACUUUUCCUUAUUACAAUUUAGUCCAUCAACUUUCUUAAUUACUUACAAUUUCAUCCUGCAGAAUUCCAAUUUGACCCCCAAACUUCUUUUUAGCCUUUCAAUUAAGCCCUUAACUAUUUAAUUUGGGCCAAAACAGAAUUAUUGAAAAUACACAAUUACAAAAAUACCCCUGACCGACAUAUUUAUUUAAGAAAAUACCAAACUCACAAAUUUCCAUUAAAACCCCAUAAAAAUAACAUUAUACUUUUAAUCCUUAUUCCAAAAUAAUCUUCCAAUUAAAUCCUACACACAAUUAAAUUAAAUAAUCAAUUUCCAAUUCAAAAUUUAAUACUACUAAUCAAUUAUAAUACCAAUUUUCUCAAAAUUCUUUUAUAAAAACAUCCCUUAUAAUUUCUAUCAUAAUUUUCUAAUAUAUAAUUUUAUUUAUAUAAAUAUGCAUUUGGGAAAAUUUGAAUAACCAAAAUAUAAUCAUUUCUCAAAUAAUUUACUUGAAUAAAAAUAAAGCUAAAAUUAACUUAAAUAUAUAAAAAAAUUCCGGGUGUUACAAUUUUGUUCAAACUUUUUUCUCCCCUGGGAAUGUGUAUGGUAUUUCCAUUUCAACCAAGCAGCAGAUGGAGAGAUCAUCCUUGCCCGAAGAUUCAAAGUCAAAUGGUGGGAUAAAUUCAACCACCAAGAAAAAUUAUCUCUAAAGAUGGUAUAAAGUUUUCUUUCAAAGAAUAGCUUUUUGCCACCUCCGAAACAACAGACCACUUCUCUGGCACAGAAGUCCUUCAUUAUUCUAAAGCUAGUGGCGACUCAAACAAAAGAAGAUUUCUUACAAUUGAUCAAACAGUUGUCGGAAACCGCCUCUUCCAAAGGAAAAUCUAAAGCUUCAUCUUCCUCUUCUAGCACCAGCUCAGCAGCAAUAGAUCUAGAUGGUGACUCGAACGAAGAUGACUAUUUUGGGAUAUUCAAACCCAUCAAAUAACAUCUUUAUAAAGCCUUUGGGUUGAAAAUAAAAAAUGGCAGCCCAAAAUAUUUAUGUAAUAGGCCAAAUGCCCAAUAAAUAAAUAAAUAAAUAAAAGAGUCAUUUAAAAAGAAAAGACAAAAGACUCUGCACCUCUACUUUUUUAAAAGUAAGAGAUUCCUCAAGCGUGGCAGACAACUUUUGCAAAAGUCAUGGAGCCCUUCACUCCAUUUUCAAAAACAUCCAAAAGACGUGGAGCCCCUCAUUCCACUAUGAAGAGCAUCCAAAGCUUCAAUUAUGAAGCUUCAAGGCUGAAGACCUCUAUAAGCAUAUGGAAAAGGAUUAUAAGUAUAUCCAUAUAGGCCUUGUCCAGGUAGGAAUAAAGCCCAUUACCAGAGAAGGUUUAGAUACUUCCAUAUUAGCAGUCCUUGUUGAGUCGAGUCUCAAUAAAGGACCUAUUUCUUUCAAUUGUUUUCCAAAUAUCAUGAUUUCUUUAAACGACAAGAAUGUUUUAAAGAGCAUCGUUCUUCAAAUAAAGACACAAUUACAAAAUGCUUGAAGGAUCUAUUCCGAUAGCAUUAAUUUUCAAAAUUCAUUACAAAGCUAUGAUUUCUGCCUUUGGUUCCAAACACAAACUUCAUUCACCAAAAGGAGAAACACUGUUCCUACAAACAGAUCUAUCCAAAUCCAACGCUACUAUUCCAAAAACCAUUCAAUGGAAAGACAUUACACUUCCAGAAGAAUGGAUCCUUGAAGGUGCAACCCAACCUACAUCUCCAAAGCAAACAGGAACCAAACACAAACCUCAAACACAUAGCCCAAUUCCCAGAUGGAAAGGUAAAGAUCACAUUUAACACAAAAUCAACAUCCUCUAGAUUUUCUGAAGAUGGUUCUUCAACCUCAACCAUAGUUAUUGGAAGGGUAUCCAAAAUACCUUUUGUUAUCUAUGCUCCUUACAAAGAACCAAUUCCAUCUCAAACUCAACCCAGAUUUUCAACAUCUGAUGUUCUAAAUACACUUCAGAAUGUUGAUUACCAAAGCAAUAUCCCCAGACCAGUUUACACUGAUCCAAAGAAAGAUGACGAAGAUAUAGAGAUAACCUCUACCCCAUCUUCACCAUCACCAUCAGCCAUAACCCAAAACCUUGAAGCAGAGAUCAACAUGAUUUCAAAAGAGUUUGAAAUUGACAAAAAACUCUUGCAUGAAGAUUUCUAUUCAAAGAAAAACCAUCUUAAAAAACUUUAGUUUUUUAGGAAUUUUUUAAAAGAAAAGGAUAGUAUACAAGAAAGAUACUAUCAAUUUUGCAUUCAAAACAAAGCCCAAAUCAAAUUUUUUGAUUGGUUUCAAAUUCAUUUCAAAGAAAAUGGCAUCCUUUAUCCCUUUAAGGAUAAGUCCAUUAGUCCUAUCACAGUAAGGAACAAAGCCCCUGAGUGGAAGGUAGGAGAAAACCUAACUGUCCAGUCUGAGCAUCCUCCCCUUAGGAAGAAAACCAUUCCUUAUGGAUAAAGUGAGAUAGAGGCUACACCUUACAAACUGGUAGGCGAAGACCUAGAUAGGAAUGUCAAGAACAUUGUUCAGCAGAACAAUUUCUCAAAUACCUGUCUAAACACUAUAGGAAAGCAACUGGUUAGGAUAGAAAAUCAUAUUCAAAAGCCUCAUGUAGUUGUGACCUCUCCAAUCCCCAAUACUGGUCAAUCAAAAGAGUCGAACCAGUCAGAAAAGCUUAAAAACCCAAUUUUUAAGCCAUAUCAGCUUACAAAGCCAAGCCAAGACCAUUUCCAAAAGCAAACUGAGUUUGCCAAAGCAAUCAAAGAGCAGCUUAGUCUUUUAGCAACCUCUGAGUCAUCCAAAAACCUAGUACCAGAUACUCCUCAAAGUAGUAGGAAUAUCAGUGCUAUAGGACAAGCCCAAAGCGAUGAGUCUAACGAUUCAGAGCUUGAAAGCCCUAUUCAAAAACCCUUCAAUAUCAACAGAUUGGGAAUCCAAUCCCUUAGAUUGACCUGGAAUACUCCUAGGAGUACUGCUCCAGAUCUAGGAAUUGAGAAUAGGAACAACAUCCUAACCCAGUCUAGAUUCAAUGCCUCCUCCGUCUAUGAAUGGAAUAUAGAUGGAAUGUCUGAAUACAAUAUCCUUAGUCUCUUGCAACAGAUGACCAUGGCAGCCAAUGCCUACAAAACCCAAAGUGGUACCUCCGAUAGAGCCAUUGCUGAGCUCCUGAUAGCUGGAUUUUCUGGCCAGCUUAAAGGAUGGUGGGAUUAUCAUCUCACUCAAGCACAACAACUCCAAAUCCUAGGUGCUAUCCAAACCACAGUAGAAGGAACUCCCAUUCUAUAUGAAAUAGGAAAUCCAAUUGAGGAUGCAGUGUCAACUCUAAUCCUCACUAUUUCCCUUCAUUUCAUAGGAGACCCUUCUCUGCUCAAAGACAAAAAUGCCGAGCUCCUUAGCAACCUUACCUGUAAGAAGCUUAACAACUUCCAAAGUUACAAAGACACUUUCCUAACCAGAGUCAUGCUUAGGGAAGAUUCUAGCCAACCUUUCUGGAAAGAAAAGUUCUUAGCCGGUUUACCUAAGAUUUUAGGUGAAAAAGUUAGGAAUACCAUAAGAGAAGCCUAUAACGGUCAAAUCCCUUAUGAUUUCUACACUUAUGGUGAGUUAGUUAGUCUAACCCAGAAAGAAGGAUUAAAGAUUUGUCAUGACCUUAAGCUUCAAAGACAGCUCAAAUGGGAGAUGAAAAAGACUAGGCAGGAACUAGGUAGUUUCUGUAACCAGUUUGAAUACAACCCAAUAGAGCCCGUGUCUAGUUGCAAAGGGAAAUGCAAAGUUGAUUCUUAUUCAAAAACUUUCAAAAAGAAACGAUUUUCCAAAUAUAGAAAGCCUUCUAAAAGCAAGGAAAAUUUCUAUAAAAAACCAUCUUCUUCCAAAUAUCUUUCAAAAUUUCCAAAGAAAGAUUCAAAAAAAGAUUUUUCAAAAAUNNNNNNNNNNNNNNNNNNNNNNNNNNNNNNNNNNNNNNNNNNNNNNNNNNNNNNNNNNNNNNNNNNNNNNNNNNNNNNNNNNNNNNNNNNNNNNNNNNNNNNNNNNNNNNNNNNNNNNNNNNNNNNNNNNNNNNNNNNNNNNNNNNNNNNNNNNNNNNNNNNNNNNNNNNNNNNNNNNNNNNNNNNNNNNAGAAAGCUCUUCAAGAACAUUAAUAUGCUCACUAGGCAACAAGAAGCUCUUCUUAAAGCUGUAAAGCAUAUUAGUGAUCCUCUUAUUCAAAAACAGGUUUUAAAAGAGAUUUUAAAAACUGAAUCUCUGGUUCCUUCCUCUAGUAAGAAUACUUAUGAUCUUACUAUGAUUUUGGACAAAGGGAAGAAGUUGAAAAACCCUCUUCCUACUGUUCAGGAACUCCAGAAGGAGAUUAAAACCAUCAAAACAGAACUCAAAGAGUUGAAAAAAAACAACAAAAUGAUUCUGUUUUGCUUCAAAGCCUGAUCCUCAAGCAGAAUAGUGAUUCUGAUUCUGAUAAGGAAAAUGAUUUUCAAAACCUUGAAGUUUCUGAAAAUGUUCCUGAAAACUUUAUCAAUGUUUUAAAGGAAAUUACUUCAAGAAAAUAUUUGAUUCAAAUAAAGCUUGUUUUCCCUGGUGAUUUCCAGAUAGAAACCAUCGCCUUGUUUGAUACAGGAGCAGACCUCAAUUGUAUCAACUGCGAACUGGUUCCUAAAAGGUUUCAUCAAGAAAUAAAAGAAAGGCUGACAUCAGCCAAUUCUUCAAAGAUUAAGAUUGCCGGUAAAACUGAAGCCGCAAUUCUUAAUAACAAUAUUGCUUUAAAGAAUGUUUUUAUUCUUACAAAGGAUCUUCAACAAACUGUUAUUUUAGGGACUCCAUUUAUCAAUUUGAUAACUCCCUUCAAAGUAACAACUGCUGGAAUCAUUUUCAAAGCUAAAGAUUCAAAAAUUAUUUUUCCUUUCUUAGAAAAACCAAAAAAAAGAAAUUUGAAUCUUAUCAAAGCUCAUUCUAUUUACAAUUUUGAAAUCAAUACUUUGAUCAAAGGAAAACAAACCCAUCUUUCUCAUCUUCAACAAGAUGUGGGUUUGAAAAGAAUCCUAGAUCAACUGCAAAAUGAUUUAAUUCAAAGAAAAAUUUCUGAUUUUCAAAUAAAAAUUGAGAAUGAACUCUGUUCUGAUCUUUCAAAUGCUUUUUGGAAUCGAAAGCAUCAUAUGGUAGAUUUGCCAUAUGAAAACGAUUUUUCAGAUAAGCAAAUCCCUACUAAAGCCAGACCCAUUCAGAUGAAUGAGUCUUUAGAAAGCCAUUGUAGAAUCGAGAUUAGAGAUCUUGAGUCUAAAGGUUUGAUUUUAAAGUCUAGAUCACCUUGGUCUUUUGCAGCUUUCUAUGUCAAUAAGAAUAGCGAGAUAGAAAGAGGAACUCCUAGGCUAGUGAUCAACUACAAACCUUUGAACAAAGCUCUAAAGUGGAUUAGGUAUCCUAUUCACAACUACAGGAGGCUUUUGAAUAUGGUUUUCUAUCCUAACCAGUUGCUUUCCUAUAGUGUUUAGACAGGUAUUUGAGAAAUUGUUCUGUUGGACAAUGUUCUUGACAUUCCUAUCUAGGUCUUCGCCUACCAAUUUGUAAGGUGUAGCCUCUAUCUCACUCUCUCCAUAAGGAAUGGUUAUCUUCCUAAGGGGAGGAUGCUCAGACUGGACAGUUAGGUUUUCUCGUACCUUCCACUCAGGGGCUUUGUUCCUUACUAUGAUAGGACUAAUGGACUUAUCCUUAAAGGGAUAAAGGAUGUCAUUUUCUUUGCAAUGAAUUUGAAACCAAUCAAAAAAUUUGAUUUGGGCUUUGUUUUGAAUGCAAAAUUGAUAGUAUCUUUCUUGUAUACUAUCAUUUUCUUUUAAAAAAUUCCUAAAAAACCAAAAUUUUUUAAGAUGGUUUUUCUUUGAAUAGAAAUCUUUAUGCAAGAGUUUUUUGUCAAUUUCAAACUCUUUUGAAAUCAUAUUGAUCUCUGCUUCAAGAUUUUGGGUUAUGGCUGAUGGUGAAGAUGGGGUAGAGGUUAUCUCUAUAUCUUCGUCAUCUUUCUUUGGAUCAGUGUAAACUAGUCUGGGGAUAUUGCUUUGGUAAUCAACAUUCUGAAGUGUAUUUGGGACAUCAGAUGUUGAAAAUCUGGGUUGAGUUUGAGAUGGAAUUGGUUCUUUGUAAGGAGCAUAGAUAACAGAAGGUAUUUUGGAUACCCUUCCAAUAUCUAUGGUUGAGGUUGAAGAACCAUCUUCAGAAAAUCUAGAGGAUGUUGAUUUUCUGUUAAAUGUGAUCUUUACCUUUCCAUCUGGGAAUUGGGCUAUGUGUUUGAGGUUUAUGUUUGGUUCUGUUUGCUUUGGAGAUGUAGGUUGGGUUGCACCUUCAAGGAUCCACUCUUCUAGAAGUGUAAUGUCUUUCCAUUGAAUGGUUUUUGGAAUAGUAGCGUUGGAUUUGGAUAGAUCUGUUUGUAGGAACAGUGUUUCUCCUUUUGGUGAGUGAAGUUUGUGUUUGGAACCAAAGGCAGAAAUCAUAGCUUUGUAAUAAAUUUUGAAAAUUAAUGCUAUCGGAAUAGAUCCUUCAAGCAUUUUGUAAUUGUGUGUCUUUAUUUGAAGAACAAUGCUCUUUAAAAUAUUUUUGUCGUUUAAAGAAAUCGUGAUAUUUGGAAAACAAUUGAAAGAAAUAGGUCUUUUAUUGAGACUCGACUCAACAGUACCUAACAAAGAAUCAUAGAAAUUUGUAAACCUAGCAUCCCUAAAGACUGCUAAUAUGGAAGUAUCUAAACCUUCUCUGGUAAGGGGCUUUAUUCCUACCUGGACAAGGCCUAUAUGGAUAUACUUAUAAUCCUUUUCCAUAUGCUUUUGGAGGGUCUUUGGAUUUAAGAGAUAAAUCUCUUCAAAAGGCUUUGAAAUUUGAAUGUCUCUUUCUUCAGUUUUGAUUGUAAAAUCAGUCUUGAAGAGAUGGAACUUUGAAAACUCGUAAAUUUGUUUCUUUUGAAUUUUGGGUAUUUUCCAAUCAUCUAUAUGCUUUGAAAAAUCUUCAAUAGUGAUUUCUUCACUAUUUACUAGACCUUUGUACCUCGAUGAUUCAGAGGCAGAAGAAUUUGAGAAAGAAGAAGAUCUACAAAAGAAAGGUUCUAAAUUCAUUUUAAAAUAAACCAAAAAAACUUGAGGUCUAUCACCAAGCUCAAAAUCUUCAAAUUCUUCCCACAUGAAUCAAGUUCAAGAGACAAUUCUAUCCAUACACAGAUACCCCGAAUCUGAUCGCCAUAUCAGACACAAAACCACCAUUUCUGCCAUAUAAAGAAAGAUUCCUCUUUUUCUGUCCUGUGUCCUAUUCACAUUUCCUAUACCCUCUACCAUUGUGGAAAAACUCUCAAUUCUACAUCAAGCUUCCUUUCAAGCUUAACGAGGAUGUCAAUCCUACUAAGGCUACUCACCUAGGAAUGUCUCCUACAGAUCUGGCUCUUGCCAGAACAGAGUUCCUGGCCCAUCCACAAUAAGGCUUAAUUGAGCCCACAACUUUGCAAUUGCCUGCCAAGCCUUUUAUAUAGAGAAAAGGUCAGAAAAACUAAGAAGGAAAAGAGACUUGUUAUUUAUUACAAGCUUUUAAACUAUUUCUUACAAGAUAACAAGUUCCCUCUUCCUCGUAUCUCAAGCCUAGAAGUCCACAUCUAGAAGGCCCAAUACUAUUCAAAGUUUGAUCUUAAAGUUGGAUUUUGGCAAUUGGGUGUCCACCCUUCAGAAAGAUACAAGACGAUUUUUUGUAUUCCAACUGUCCAAUAUCAAUGGACUGUCAUGCUUUUUGGACUCAAAACAACCCCUCUCUUAUUCCAAAAAACAAUGAUACAGAUCAUUGAACCCAUCCUCUAUUCUUUCCUUAUCUACAUUGAUGAUAUUCUCUUGUUCUCAGAGACCGUUGAAAGUCACCAUAAAAAAGAACUUGAUAAUUUUCCAUAUUAGAAUCUCUCUGUGAAACAGAUCCAGUAAUUUCUUGAAAUACUCAACUAUGUCAAGGAUGCUUUAUCAUAUUUAUCCCAUUACACGUGUCACAUUUCCAAGAUACUAAAAAAGAACCCCCAUCCUUGGACAGCAGAACAAACAAUAACUGUCAGGAAAUUAAAAGAGUUGGCCCAGAAUCGUCCACCACUCACUAUCUCAUCUACAAAAUAACUCAUUCUACAGACAGAUGCAUCAGAUCAUGCAUGGGGAGCUAUUCUCCUUGAAAAUCUUAAUGGUAGAAAAACUGUGUGGCCAUACAUCAGAACAAUUUUCUCCAGCAUAAAAGCAUUACCAUUCUUUCUAAUCAGUCAGUAUUUCUUAGUAUGAAUGAAUAACUCUUCAUUUCUAAAAAUUCUCGAGUUCAACCAGAAAGCUUUACCAGAGCAACAUUUAUUAAGGUUAAAGUCAUGGUUCAGCAAAUAUAAUUUUGAAUUCCAACAUAUAAAAGGAACCAAAAACUUCAUUCUAGAUUUCUUAUCCAGACCCUCAAAACCACAACCAAACCACCAGCAUGUUGUUCUCCUUACCUCAACAACCAACCUUCCAAUAAUCUUUAUUGGCCUCUUCGUCCUCACCAAAAAAAAAACCUCCACAACUUCCCUCUCCUCUAGACCUUCCCUCGCACCUCACAAUUAAACAAGUUAACAGUUUUACCAAAAAUAUGAUGUUCCAUUAUCUAACAGUCAUCCAGCAGACUUUCUCUCUCUCCAUCCAAUCCAAUUUCUUUUAUCCAAAUUAUCCUUGAUGCUUGAUCUAUCAUCUUUCUCCUAGUCAUCCAAAAAUUUAAAGUGAACUAUGGUUUCUUUGGUGCCUUUCCAUAGUAUGUUAUCAUGCAAAUGCAGGGAUUUAUCCAUGAAAAUAUCUCACUUGGUUCAAGAUCUCAUACCAGUGGAAAAAUUAUCUCCUCAAGAUCAUUCAUGAGAAUAAACUAUUCAUAGACAAUAACUCCAAGGCUUCAUGAUAUCAUGCCAUCUAUGUUCUUCACGGGCCUUACUUCAAAUUCUCAGUAGACACAUAUGCUACCUAGAAUAUCUGUCAGUACUGGAGGACAAUUGAAAUGCCCUUACAUCUUGCUCCUCCGCACAUAAUAGAAGAAUUAAAGCGUGCUUUACAAUUAAGAAAUGAUCAAGGAAAGAUCAACGUCUCGACACCACUUGUCUGCACUUACAAUGGACCUAAUAACCAAUGGAUUGAAUACUCCACUUCUGAAUAGUCCACUUUGCCUUUGCUAUCGUCACCUCUGGAUGAUCUAAGUUUGACCAUAGAACAACAAAACACUAUCAUGCAAGAUUUCCAGCCACUAAAGUAUGACAUUGGCCUAUGGUAUCCAACCUUUUAUGGUGAUGUCAAUUCAAACAAUAAAGAAAAGCCAACACCCAAUCUCUCUCCUUCAUAUUUCAUGUAAUAAUUAUAGGUGUACAAAAAAUUAAAGUGUUGUAAUAAUUAAAAGUGUGUAGUAUGAUAAGAUUUCUUAUCUUAUCCUUAUUGUCUUUAUGUAUGUAAAGGAUAAGACUCUAUCUUAUCGUUAUUGUCUUAUUAAGGGAUAAGGGUACCUUAUUCAUAUUGUCCUUAUGUAAGGCUCCGUCUUUAUAAAAGGAGAGCCCUUAGUAGUUUGGGGGAUCAAACCCCUUCCUCCUUAGUCAUAAAUAAACGCUUUCUUCUCUAUGGCUAUCUAAAUUUCUACCUCUUUCCUCUUGAUUCUUAAACUAUGAGUUCUUAACUUGCAUGAUCUAUUCUUCUUAUAGUUCAAAAGGAUUAGCUCGGCUUUAUGAAUCCAAUAGAGCAUAAAGGCCACCCAUGGCUAAGAAAGUGGCUUCCCUUGCUCUUAGUUUAAGGAUUUACCCAGCCUCAAUAAGAAUUGGAAUAUUUUUAGCAAAUUUUAGAAAAGAUAGAUAGAUUUAUUAAAAUGUAAAAGAUCAUAAUUUAGUAUGUAAUUAAGUUUUAAAUUUAUUAGUAAAUUUUUAAAAUAAUUAAAAUGCAUAAAUUCUCUUUUUUUUUUUGUUUCUUUUUACUAUUGACUAAUAAAUUCAAAAAUUUAGGCUAGGUUCAUGAAUAUAAUUUAAAACUUUAUAUUUGUAAGUACUUGAAAUGUAUUAGAAGAUAUAAGUUUUUUAUUUCAUUUAAAAUAAGAUUUUGUAUACAUUCAUAGAUUCACAAGAAUCUAAUUUAUAUUUAUAUAUGUAAUCUGAUUUCUAAAAAAUAUCACAUAUGCGUAAGAAAUUUUAACAAUAAAUAAUUUUCAUAUUUGUCAUAUUUUAUUAAUAAUAUAUAAAUAAAAUUAAAAUUAAAAUAUUAAUUAAUAAAAUGCUUGUUUAAUUAAAUAAUAACCUUAAUCUUUAAAAUUAGUAUAUUAAUUAUAUCUUAUUAUUAAUUUAUAAAUAUAAUAAAUUUAUUAGCUAUUAAUAAAAAAUAUUAAAAAUUACAAUAUAUUAAAAAUGAUCAUGAUAUUAUCAAUUAUCAAGCUAAUAAUUGUCUUACUGAAUAGAUAUAUUAAAACAUUUAGUAAAAAUUUAAAAAAGAACAGUUGAUAAUUGAUUUAGUCUCAAUUAGCCAUUGAUUGUAUCAACUCUAUUUUAGAGAUUUUUCUUAUCAGUUGAUAGCUGAUUUGAUAUAUUUAUUUAUUUAGACAUUAUUAUUCUUAUUAAAAUAUAUUAAUAAUAAUUUAUUUUAAAUUGAUAUCAUAUAAUUAAAUUUUUAUAUUUUAUAAUAAAUAAUUAUUAUUUUAAAAUUAUUCUUAAUAAUUAAAUAAUUAUAAAAUUUAUAAUUAUAAUAUUUGAAAUUAACAAAUUUUAUUAGUAGAAUUUAAAUUUAGAUUUUUACUUUUAAAAUUUUUUUCUUGACCAGGUAACCUCUGUUUGAGAAUACCCCAAAACCUAAAUCAGAGGCAUAAAUAUUUUUAAUCACAUAUACAAUUAAGUUUAAAAAGUUAAUUAUAAAUUUUUUGAUUAUUAUAAAUUAUUUUUAUUAAUUGAUAUUAUUAAAUAUAAUAUAAUAUAAUUUUUAAUAAUUUUUAAUGAUCAUUUAAUAUACUAAUAGCAACUAUUAAUAAAUUUAUAAAAUUUUAUUAAAUAAUUUAAUUUAUCAAUCAUCAGCUACCAACUAUUAACUUCGCUACCGAAUCAAUCAAGCUCUUAAUUUAUGAUAAGUUAAAUUUUUAAAUAUAAAGAACUUUAAAUUUCAAAUUUCUAAUUAAAAGAUAUUUUUGAUCCUAAAAUGCAGAUUAAUGAUUAGUUAUAAUUAAUUAACAUUUUAAUCACUAGAAGAAACUANNNAGUUAAUAAAAAAAAAAAUUGGAAAAAAAGCUGAAGCAUGUAUAGAUCUAGAAUUUAAAGAAAAGGCCGAGUAAAAAGAUGAAGUACCUGAGAGGAUGAUAGAUCUGAAGGAAGGAAGGAAGGAAAAUGGAGGAAUCAGUGGAAAGCAUUAGCACGAGGGGUGUUGGAAAGAUCAUAUUUACCAAUUUGAAUCAAAACUAUGAAAAUUGAAAAGGAUCUUUCCAUCACUCUCAUGCUGAUAAUUCCCUAUGAAAUUCUAACCUCCCCUUUGAUUACUUUUAUUUUCCAGCGCACCAAACAAGACUUUGAUUGUACUUUUAGCUGUGCUUUUCUCUGUCUCUGUUAUUUUCUUUAUAAACAGCAACUCAGAGAAGGAAGGAAGGAAAGCAGACGGAAGCAUCAUCUUCGAUGAUCAUGGACCCUUCGUUUUUUGCGUGUUGUACACUGUUGUCGAGUCUAUAGAACUCCACUCUCUCUCGUCCAAAUAAUAAUUUAAAAAUUUCUUGAAGCAUUGAGAUUUUAUUCUGCAACAAUUUAGUGUUUUCUUAAAACAUUAUUUUCUGAAGUAUGCAU